GAUGAACGCUAGCUACAGGCUUAACACAUGCGAGUCGCGGGGCAGCAUGGGGGUUGCUUGCAACUCCCGAUGGCGACCGGCGCACGGGUGAGUAACGCGUAUCCAACCUGCCCUUCACCACGGGAUAACCCGGCGAAAGUCGGACUAAUACCGUAUGUUGUCCAUUGACGGCAUCCGAUUUGGACGAAAGGCUUUGCGGUGAAGGAUGGGGAUGCGUCCGAUUAGCCAGACGGCGGGGUAACGGCCCACCGUGGCUACGAUCGGUAGGGGUUCUGAGAGGAAGGUCCCCCACACUGGAACUGAGACACGGGCCAGACUCCUACGGGAGGCAGCAGUGAGGAAUAUUGGUCAAUGGGCGUAAGCCUGAACCAGCCAAGUAGCGUGCAGGAUGACGGCCCUAUGGGUUGUAAACUGCUUUUAUGCGGGGAUAAAGUGGCCCACGUGUGGGCUUUUGCAGGUACCGCAUGAAUAAGGACCGGCUAAUUCCGUG
Molecule: ribosomal RNA, 490 nt
Filed under: uncultured bacterium
Lineage: Bacteria
Description: partial 16S ribosomal RNA
Rfam family: Bacterial small subunit ribosomal RNA
Source: RNAcentral